AAGAAAAUAUGUUUGAGUGAUUAUUUCUUUCAUCCAGAUUCAGUGGUGUGGAGUCUGGGCCAACGGAUCAUAGGGAUUUCUCCAGGCUGUUGGCUCUUACCGUUGGGAAAAAAGCUGGGAAAAAACCUUGUUACUGUUAAAAGGAGAGUUUCAUGCAGGUUCAAUGGAUUGGAACGUCUAUCAACGGCUAUGAGAAAACAAAAGCACUGUUACCGUUGAUGCUUUUUAUAUACAUUUCCUAUAUAAUAGAGUAAUCGGUUUGUUUAAUUUGUCUGUGACAUCUGCUUGUUGAUUUCUCUUCAACUUGAAAUGUAUGUCAGGGUUUGUGAAAUUAAGUUCUAUGACUACAUUGGGGACAGCCGGGCCAUUAUCUUCUCACACACUGCUAAUUUUACACCAGUCUGUACGACUAAGGUGGAAAGGAUUGCCAAUUACAUUGGGGAGUUUGAGAAGCGUGGAGUUAAACUUUUGAGCUUGUCCUCUAAUGAAGUGGAUUCACACAAAGCAUGGCUGCCUGAUGUUGAAGCAUGUACCCCUGGAAGUAAGGUUACAUACCCAAUAUUGGUUGUUCCCAAAGCAGAGAUCAUGGUGAAGCUUAAUAUGUUGGACCUAGAUGAGAAAGAUGAAAUUGGAAAGCCAUUAGCAUCCAGAACCCUGCAUAUUGUUGGCCCUGACAAGAAGGUAUAGCCAGAGACCAACUACUGUUACCUAUCGCUGUGAUUCUUGGAAAUCUUUUUCUUCUUUCCAAUGAAAUCUCCAUCUAGUGCAUUGCUUGUGAGCUACUGUUUAGAUUUACGGUCAAUGGAUUGGAUGCUGCAUUGGUAUCUCGAAGCACUUUGCUCUUUAUAUCAUAGGGAACAAUCGGCCCUUUCAUUCCAAAUCCUCUGCCAUUUUUCUCUAGGGAUUCAACAGACUGCUUCACAAAAUUAAUCUUUAUUGCGUCCAGGAGGACAAUUCAGAUCAUCUUCUGCUUGGCCUUCAACUUACCAUUGACUCAUAGGAUGACCAGGAGAGGAGCCACAAACGGAUCAAGUAUGCAGAUUUGCUUCAAAACAUUUUGAUCAGCUUGCAACAUUGAAAACAUGAAAUGCUUAUAAUGUCUAGAUCUGGUUCAAGCAUUUGAUGUGCCAGAGACAAUUGGCGUUCUUUGAUACUAUUGAUUAUUAUAGACAUUAAAUAUCUUUUCCAUGAGUAUCUCAAUAGUUAUUGUAGUCAAUGCAAAACCAAUUUUAAUUUUAUAGUCACACAUCUGAAUCAAAUUGAUCAACUAAUUUGUAAAUUGAUAUGUUAAUGGAUUUGUUGUUUAAUGUAAAAUUUUUAUUUGGGAGGGGUUGAAUUUGCCCCCUCUUUUAGGUUGGAGGGAAUGAUCAUUGGUCAUGGUCAUUCUUUUCAGUCUAAUGUCUCUGUGUUGUUUUUUAUAUUUUUAUAUUGUAUUAAACUCAAACCUACUUUUUAUUUAUUUUAUUUUUACUCCA
Cryptomeria japonica (Japanese cedar) is the source of this 1475-nucleotide RNA transcript. It is a transcript of the gene named 1-Cys peroxiredoxin B, with no coding region annotated. The record is from RefSeq and is a predicted model, not a curated record. NCBI's taxonomy places the organism in Eukaryota, Viridiplantae, Streptophyta, Pinopsida, Cupressales, Cupressaceae. The transcript is spliced from 4 exons.